This 498-nucleotide ribosomal RNA is filed under the name uncultured bacterium. RNAcentral's name for it is "partial 16S ribosomal RNA". It matches the Rfam family "Bacterial small subunit ribosomal RNA", at positions 29 to 523 of the family's 1533-position model. The record is from RNAcentral.
AUUGAACGCUGGCGGCAUGCCUUACACAUGCAAGUCGAACGGUAACGCGGGGCAACCUGGCGACGAGUGGCGAACGGGUGAGUAAUACAUCGGAACGUGCCCAACAGUGGGGGAUAGCCCGGCGAAAGCCGGAUUAAUACCGCAUAUAACCUAAGGGUAAAAGCGGGGGAUCGCAAAACCUCGUGCUGAUGGAGCGGCCGAUGUCAGAUUAGGUUGUUGGUGGGGUAAAGGCCUACCAAGCCGACGAACUGUAGCUGGUCUGAGAGGACGACCAGCCACACUGGGACUGAGACACGGCCCAGACUCCUACGGGAGGCAGCAGUGGGGAAUUUUGGACAAUGGGCGCAAGCCUGAUCCAGCCAUGCCGCGUGCGGGAUGAAGGCCUUCGGGUUGUAAACCGCUUUUGUCGGGGAAGAAAUACUCCGGGCUAAUACCCCGGGAGGAUGACGGUACCUACAGAAGAAGGACCGGCCAACUACGUGCCAGCAGCCGCCGCGG